CUUACUAUUUUCCCCAGGUUUGGGCCUUAUCUCUUCAAUGGUUUGCUUUCAGGAACAGUUUGUAUUUUAAGGUUUCCUUCAUUUUGACCUAUAUGGGUAAAUGGAAAUGGAACUUGAAAUCAAACAGGGCUUGGUGCGUGCUGCUUAAAACUGCACACACUCAGUCAGUUCUAUGUGGGCACUCUGGUUUCUUCCUUGUGAAAGUUUCCCAAAGCUGAAGCAUGCAAAAACAUCUUUAUCUGAAAGUACUGUUGGAGACAACAGGGAAAUAUACAUGUACUGAAUUACCUCCAGAAAUUAUUUGGUCAGAUUUCUUUGAUACUGCUCAAGAAUCAUCUGUUAGCUUUCCCCACUAGGCUCCCUUAAUUUGGUACUUCUAUGAUAAAAGAUUCUCUAAACAGACUAGGGUUAGGUUUAUGGUUAGGGUAAGGGCUAGGUUUAAACCUAGUGUUAGAGUUAGAGUCAGUUUUG
RNAcentral lists this long non-coding RNA (471 nucleotides) under Marmota monax (woodchuck). Lineage: Eukaryota; Metazoa; Chordata; Mammalia; Rodentia; Sciuridae. The record is from RNAcentral.